UACCGUAUGAGCCCUUCGGGGGAAAGAUUUAUCGGGAAAGGAUGAGCCCGCGUUGGAUUAGCUAGUUGGUGGGGUAAAGGCCUACCAAGGCGACGAUCCAUAGCUGGUCUGAGAGGAUGAUCAGCCACAUUGGGACUGAGACACGGCCCAAACUCCUACGGGAGGCAGCAGUGGGGAAUAUUGGACAAUGGGCGCAAGCCUGAUCCAGCCAUGCCGCGUGAGUGAUGAAGGCCCUAGGGUUGUAAAGCUCUUUCACCGGUGAAGAUAAUGACGGUAACCGGAGAAGAAGCCCCGGCUAACUUCGUGCCAGCAGCCGCGGUAAUACGAAGG
Molecule: ribosomal RNA, 330 nt
Filed under: Ensifer meliloti
Lineage: Bacteria; Pseudomonadati; Pseudomonadota; Alphaproteobacteria; Hyphomicrobiales; Rhizobiaceae
Description: Sinorhizobium meliloti bacterial SSU rRNA
Rfam family: Bacterial small subunit ribosomal RNA
Source: RNAcentral